This 272-nucleotide ribosomal RNA is filed under the name uncultured bacterium. Its description in RNAcentral is "partial 16S ribosomal RNA". It matches the Rfam family "Bacterial small subunit ribosomal RNA", at positions 74 to 339 of the family's 1533-position model. The record is from RNAcentral.
UUUUCGGAUGGAAAGAUAUGUUCUUAGUGGCGGACGGGUGAGUAAUGUAUGAGCAACCUACCUUUAAGAGGGGGACAACAGUUGGAAACGACUGCUAAUACCGCAUAACGCGAAUUUGUCGCAUGACAGAUUUGUCAAAGGAGCAAUCCGCUUAAAGAUGGGCUCAUAUCUGAUUAGGUAGUUGGAGAGGUAACGGCUCACCAAGCCUACGAUCAGUAGCCGGACUGAGAGGUUGAACGGCCACAUUGGAACUGAGACACGGCCCAGACUCC